This 450-nucleotide ribosomal RNA is filed under the name uncultured bacterium. Its description in RNAcentral is "bacterial SSU rRNA". It matches the Rfam family "Bacterial small subunit ribosomal RNA", at positions 64 to 507 of the family's 1533-position model. The record is from RNAcentral.
GAGUGCGCAGUUUUCUGUAGCAAUACAGGGAAUGGGCGCACGGCGCACGGGUGAGUAACACGUGGGCAACCUGCCCUACAGAGGGGGAUACCCCCGCGAAAGCGGGACUAAUACCGCAUGAUAUUCCGGUGGCUUCGGCUGCUGGACUCAAAGUCCGCAAGGACGCUGUUGGAGGGGCCCGCGCCCGAUUAGCUUGUUGGUGAGGUAACGGCUCACCAAGGCAAUGAUCGGUAGCCGGUCUGAGAGGAUGGCCGGCCACACUGGAACUGAGACACGGUCCAGACUCCUACGGGAGGCAGCAGUGGGGAAUCUUGCGCAAUGGGCGAAAGCCUGACGCAGCGACGCUGCGUGGGGGAUGAAGCUUCUCGGAGUGUAAACCCCUUUCGACCCGGACGAAACUCCCGCAAGGGAUUGACGGUACGGGUAUAAGAAGCCCCGGCUAACUACGUG